Molecule: long non-coding RNA, 3278 nt
Organism: Lolium perenne
Lineage: Eukaryota; Viridiplantae; Streptophyta; Magnoliopsida; Poales; Poaceae
Source: RefSeq, a predicted model, not a curated record
ACUCCCCACUCCCAUUCCUCUCCACUACAAACCCUAGGCCAAUCUCCACUACGCUCGCCGCCAGCUCCCACUCCGACGGGAUACUGUGAAAGCUUGGUGCGUCGGAUCAAGGCAGGGAGCCAAGCGGGCCAGGGCGGGGAGGUGUGGCGAUGCGCGGCUCCCGCACACGGUAGAUCGAGGCGGAGGUGGGUCGUCGCCCUCCUCCAAAUCCUGUUGCGCGAUCUCCUCCCCAAUCCCCCACCCGUGCUCUCCCAAUCCCGCUCACUCCUCUCCUCGUCGUCGUCCUCGCCCUCCUUAUCCUUCCCCAAUCAACUCCCGCGUUGCUCGUCUCCUCCUUCGACCUCCAAUCAACUCCCGCGCCCCUUCCAUCUCGCCCUAGAGCAGACGCAGCGGGAUGGCUAAGAAGCCUGCGGCGCGCCGCGGCCUUGGCCACCAGAGACGCGGAGGCAGAAGAGCGGCCGCGCCUGCACACGAUGGCCGCCGAUGAGCGGCGGCUGGCCGGCCUUGGAGAUCUCCUCCGUUUACGUUGAGAAGGAGGAGGAGAUUGUUAUUGCUGCGUCCAACCUCCACGUAUAGAUCUAUUUUUAUGUAUGCUUAGAAGGUGCUUGUUGAAAGUUGUAGCUAAAAUUACUGUAUGUGAAGAGUUGUGCCUGGGUUCUUUGGUGGAGAUGAGGUGGUUGGAGAAGCGUUCUGGCUGGCACUGGUGCUCAAAUCGUUUGGCUGAUUCUCAGCAGAAGGUGAUGCUCAGGGUUCCUACCAUGACAGAGAGACAAGGUGGAAGCUUGAGAACAAAAAUCAUGUUAAGUGAGAUUAUUCUGUCACAUGUGUCAACAGGAACGAAUGGGUGUGAUGGGCAGAACACUUCAGCUCUGAUUGUAAGGAGGGUGUUCCUCUAUCCAUUGGGUUUCCAUUGGUUGCAUAUAUACAACACGCAAAUUUCCAUUUCUUUGGUCAUGUUGCAAGAUUGCAACUCAUCUUUUUAUAGUCCGUCUCAUGCAUGGUCAGGUUUCACAUACAGUUCAUGGAGUUUUUGAUUCAUUUUUGCUCAAGUAAAAAGAUGCCCGUGGCCGCCGGCCACAUCGCGUGAGAGAGGCUUGGUCCGAGGCUCUUCUAGCAUUUCUGAGAAGAAGAUAUGGACCAGCUUCCGUUUGCAGUAACAAGCAUUGAUGAGGAUAGGUCUCUAUUCUUCCCCAACUUAGAAGCUUUCGUUUUCAGUAUGUGGUAUCACAUGUGGUUCCAUGGCACUGAUAGGUAAAACCAAUUUUAUGUCCAAUACAAAUUGGCAUAGAAGAACAUGAUUAGGAGGGCGGAGUUACUGCUUUGGAGUUUGAUAAUUUUAACUUGGCCAAUGCUUAAUUUUGGCCGUGGUUCACAUAGACUGGUUGCUGAAGUUUGUAUACAGACCAUUUUGCAGUUGAGGCUGUUGAUAUUCAUUAGCAAGUAAAAUGCCGAGGAGCACGGGAAAAGGCAAAGCACGACCACAUGGAUCUGAUAAAAUUCUGGGUAUGUAGAAAUAUAUGUUUAGGAAGAACAAUUCUGGGCAGAAGCAUACCGUGUCUGUGCAACAACUCUACAUGCAGAACUGGCUGAAUUAGCAUCGAAAAAUCACAAAAUCAACUCUGCAAAUUACAGUGACCCCGCAGAUAAGCUCGGUGUUAUACUUGUUGAGUCUGCUAUUGAUGAUCCUGAUCCAGGCAAAGGGACCAUUAUCAGUAGUCCUGACAACAAGUCCAUCAUUUGGUGUUUCGCAACACUGGUCAUAAUGUUCAGUACAAACGCAGGCGCUCACAUACACGCGCAUACACUCACCCCUAUGAACGCACACACGCACACCCUACCCCUAUGAGCACCUCCAGAAGACUGAGCCGGCGGAUUGGAUCUUGAAAUUGACGAAGUCACCACAGGCGCCUCGCUGUCGACGGGAACGUCGCCUCCCACUGAAUGAAUAUUCCGCCUUUAUGAGACACGCAGAUGUCAAACCUGGGGUUUGAACUCUGGUGGGCUGGGGGUACAACCACCCUCCUAACCACCCAACCUCAGGUGAUGGAGUAGCAGCCUAUAUCCAUUGCAAAGGCUGGAAUAAUUGUGUCUUCAAAUGCUAAAACAUUUGUCCUAGCACAUGCAAAUCCAUCCGAGUCAGACAGUAUCCACCUUCCUCCAAAACUAAUGUCAUCAGUGCGAAAAUAUGCAUCUUGAAGAAUAAAAUUGACGCUCGCCCCUGUCUUUUUGUUCACUUUUUAUUUAGGAUUUUCUCGAAUUAAUGAUUCUUCUCUCUACAGAUCCAAAAUUCUACAGAUUUUGGGGAUUCUAAAUUCCCGAUGUACCAAGUACAAUAGCAAUGAGUGACAUAGGUUGCUAAGAAAAUAUGGCGUGCCUUGCAAGUUCCUGAAAGAGGAUCUAUGUGGUACAUGUGGCUGUUCUCGCGAAUACAGAUUGAAGAAUUAAACUAUAUAGCUUGGAUUGGAGGGACAAUGUUUGUACGCUCAGAAGUACAUUGCUACCUUUGAUUUCCCCAGAUCUUAGCCAAAUCAGUAAACUUCAAUGCUAAGGAUUGAGGGUGACGAGUUACCAUUCUUCCUAAGCUAAACCAAACUGAGAGAGAUCUGAGGGGAAGAAAAAAAGAUGCACCUGAUUGAGACGGUGACCUGGUACAACAGCACGCGGUGUCGACACGCCGAUGAGGCCACUGUACCCGUUCCGCUGGCGCUGUCAAGCACCUCAACCAGCGUUGUUGUCCCAUAGGUGCUCUGCCUUUGGUUUCUGGUGGCAAGAGAACUGACACGUCGGUGUCAAGACCAUCAUGCAAGGAGCCACCACCUAUGGACAGCAGCAACGCCAUGGCUCUAGACAGCGCGGCCUUCAAUUCACCAUGAUAUUAAAAUGCGGAGCAAGCAUAUGGUGAAACAAUGGUGAUCGUCUAUUUGGUCGGUUGGAAGAGAGAUUGAGCUCAAGGAGAUGUGAAGAAUCACGAGAUGCCUGACCAUCGACGGAGGAAAGAAAAGGGGAUUGUAGAAGAAAGCAAGACACGAGCUAGACAGAGCCAAAGGGCUACAGAGGCAAGGAAAAAAGUUCUGCAUGUCUGGUGUGCGUGUGGCCCUGUGUGCGCGUCAGUGGUCUGGGCUGGGCCUGAUAGUAUAUUUGUUUAAUUCCAUAAAAAAGUUCCGUGGUCCUGAUUGCGUCAUGUUGAUUUGUGGCACAAUAUUCUUUCUUUUGUCAUUCAAUCACCAACGAGUAAAACAUACAUUGAAAUUGCAAUUCUCUUUUACCGAGGCAUCCUA